UCAGGUAGUUGGUGAGGUAAAGGCUCACCAAGCCUACGACGGGUAGCCGGCCUGAGAGGGUGACCGGCCACACUGGGACUGAGACACGGCCCAGACUCCUACGGGAGGCAGCAGUGGGGAAUAUUGCACAAUGGGCGCAAGCCUGAUGCAGCAACGCCGCGUGAGGGAUGACGGCCUUCGGGUUGUAAACCUCUUUUAGUAGGGAAGAAGCGAAAGUGACGGUACCUGCAGAAAAAGCACCGGCUAACUACGUGCCAGCAGCCGCGGUAAUACGUAGGGUGCGAGCGUUGUCCGGAAUUAUUGGGCGUAAAGAGCUCGUAGGCGGUCUGUCGCGUCUGCUGUGAAAACCCGAGGCUCAACCUCGGGCCUGCAGUGGGUACGGGCAGACUAGAGUGCGGUAGGGGAGAAUGGAAUUCCUGGUGUAGCGGUGGAAUGCGCAGAUAUCAGGAGGAACACCGAUGGCGAAGGCAGUUCUCUGGGCCGUAACUGACGCUGAGGAGCGAAAGCGUGGGGAGCGAACAGGAUUAGAUACCCUGGUAGUCCACGCCGUAAACGUUGGGCGCUAGAUGUGGGGACCAUUCCACGGUUUCCG
Molecule: ribosomal RNA, 592 nt
Filed under: Cryocola sp.
Lineage: Bacteria; Bacillati; Actinomycetota; Actinomycetes; Micrococcales; Microbacteriaceae
Description: bacterial SSU rRNA
Rfam family: Bacterial small subunit ribosomal RNA
Source: RNAcentral